UCAGUCNUNACACAUNCAAGUCGAGCGGNAGCAAGCAGAGCUUUCUNCCNGGNGNUCGCGGCGGACGGGUGAGUAAUGCAUAGGAAUCUGCCCGGUAGUGGGGGAUAACCUGUGGAAACUCGGGCUAAUACCGCAUACGUCGUACGGGAGAAAGCAGGGGACCUUCGGGCCUUGCGCUAUCGGAUGAGCAUAGGUCGGAUUACAUUGUUGGUGGGGUAAUGGCUCACCAAGGCAAGGAUCGGUAGGUGGUCUGAGAGGAUGAUCAGCCACAUNGUGAGUGAGACACGGCCCGCACUCCUACGGGAGGCAGCAGUGGGGAAUAUUGGACAANGCAGCAAGCCNCCAGCACAACCGCGUGAAUGAAGAAGGCUCGGGUGUAAAGCACUUUCAGUNGGAAGAAAGNAUUNAUACCUGNGNCNCCNA
RNAcentral lists this ribosomal RNA (423 nucleotides) under uncultured bacterium. Its description in RNAcentral is "partial 16S ribosomal RNA". It matches the Rfam family "Bacterial small subunit ribosomal RNA", at positions 43 to 466 of the family's 1533-position model. The record is from RNAcentral.